GUCCCCUCCCCGGGCCACCAGAGCUGCCUCACCGGGGUUUCCGGUGCCUUGCCGAUCUCGGCAGCCGGGAGCAUCCCGUCUCCGCUCGAGUCUUCAGCUCCAUGAGCAGCCAGCGUGGCUUGUAGUGUUCCGCUGCGGCCACCGGCUAGACACCAGCUCUGCUGGGAGACAGUGAGGCUGAACGCCACCUCUACUUCCCCUCGCCGUCUCUCUGGUUUCUUCCUCUCCUCCCAGAGAGGCCCUGCCCGCGCAGCCGCCAGCUAGCCGCGGUCGCUCCCUCUGCUGGCAGGGGGCCGGCACCGCCGUUCAGGAAGCGGGCGCCAGGCCUCCAGGCUCUCGGGAGAAAGGGGGUGGGCGGUCCUUCUCAACCUCGGCCACACCUCCACCUCGCUGGAGUCCAUCUUGGUGGAGCUUGAAGGCUGAUCAGACUCAACUAGAGAUGACCCCCCACGUUUUCCCCUGGAGGGUGCAGAUCUGGUUGUGAAUGACCGGGAGCUGAGUGGAGGAAGAGGACUCAGCAUCAAAUAAGCACUUUAUCCCGUGCAGAGACCCAAAAAACGUGGCCUUUGACAAGAAGGAAGAACAUGAAUGACCUGGAAGCAAGAGGACUCAGGAUUUGACCUCAAGAACAAACAUAGGAGACGGAAAAACAAAAAGCUGAGCAGGAGAAGAAAAGUGAUCAUAGUAUCUACUACUUCGCCCAAGAUAAGCACAAACUUGCUAUGAUCAGUUUUUCUGAAGCCUAUCCUAUUGAGAAGCCGUCCAGCAGGAGAGGUAAACGGAAGAAGUGGGAAAAUGCUUCUCUCCGAUACUCUGCACUCAAAGGAAUAAUAUAGAGAACAAUAUAUUCUCCAAAGUUACUCUUUUCAUUAAGCUAGCUGCGUGUGGAGGGCAACACAAAAUGACCAUGACCAUGUGGAAGAAGCCUUUAUUAAAAUACGUCAAGCAUU
Molecule: long non-coding RNA, 950 nt
Organism: Suricata suricatta (meerkat)
Lineage: Eukaryota; Metazoa; Chordata; Mammalia; Carnivora; Herpestidae
Exons: 4
Source: RefSeq, a predicted model, not a curated record